AAUAAAACUUAUAACAUAUGCACGUUCUACAAAUUUCAUAUGAUGCCUUUUUCCUUUGUUACAGGAAUCAUUUCGAGCGGUUCUCCAAUCAAAACAAGAUCUAGACUACAAACUGUGGGAUAUAAUUCACAACGAGCCGGAGGAACCGAAGCUCGAGGAAGAAUGAAAGGCUCUCGAGGAAGGAGCGAGGAGGCAGCCCACCACCGCUAUCGCCCGAGGGGAAUCCACCCUCCGUCCCCGCUUCCAGAAUCCCGCACAGAUAUUUCAUAACCCUUCCUCUAUCCCCGACCGUCCCGUCCCUAUUAAUUGCCGCGCCAAAUAACCCGUGAUACAUUCCAUCCGAAACCGGAAGUCCAGCGAUACCCAUACGCGCCUUCCAGGAAAAUUCCCGUCGGAAAAUACUAUCGCCAUUCGUGCAGCUCUUGAAAGCCGAGAGAGUGUAAACCGUUCGCUUCCACUAUCUAGCGACGAACCUUUAUCAACUGGAAAGGGCUCGAUUCAGCAUCGACCGUGUGAAUGGCGUGAAAGAAAUCGGGGUUACUCAGGUGCUAUCGUAUUCGCGAUCGUAAUGAAUUGAAAGGAGAGCUACUGAGAUACUCUAUCCUAAAAAAAACACUAUCUAGUUUAGAGACCUUCCUCGAACUUUUCAUAAUCAGUGAUCAUGAACUACGCGAGGAAUAGUUUAAUUUUUCGCUGACUCUUUUAAGGGCCGCGUCCCGCCCGUAUCGGA
Molecule: long non-coding RNA, 730 nt
Filed under: Bemisia tabaci
Lineage: Eukaryota; Metazoa; Arthropoda; Insecta; Hemiptera; Aleyrodidae
Description: lncRNA ENSASIAIIG012414
Source: RNAcentral